AUUGAACGCUGGCGGCAUGCUUUACACAUGCAAGUCGAACGGCAGCGCGGGGGCAACCCUGGCGGCGAGUGGCGAACGGGCGAGUAAUGUAUCGGAACGUAUCCUGUAAGUGGGGGAUAACCAGUCGAAAGAUUGGGUAAUACCGCAUACGCACGAGAGUGGAAAGUAGGGGAUCGCAAGACCUUACGUUAUAGGAGCGGCCGAUAUCUGAUUAGCUAGUUGGUGGGGUAAAGGCCUACCAAGGCGACGAUCAGUAGCUGGUCUGAGAGGACGACCAGCCACACUGGGACUGAGACACGGCCCAGACUCCUACGGGAGGCAGCAGUGGGGAAUUUUGGACAAUGGGCGAAAGCCUGAUCCAGCCAUGCCGCGUGCAGGAAGAAGGCCUUCGGGUUGUAAACUGCUUUAGUCUAAGGAAAAAGGGGUGCGAGGUUAAUACCCUCGUGCUUUGAUGGUACUGGAAGAAUAAGCACCGGCUAACUACGUG
This 487-nucleotide ribosomal RNA is filed under the name uncultured bacterium. RNAcentral's name for it is "bacterial SSU rRNA". It matches the Rfam family "Bacterial small subunit ribosomal RNA", at positions 30 to 507 of the family's 1533-position model. The record is from RNAcentral.